CACAUCAUUAUGGAACACUGCUGAAUAAAGCUUUAUUUCGGUUUUUCAGACAGAAACCAGACUUGUUUAACUAACAGCCAUUUAGAACUGCAGCACUGCUGUUUAUAAACACUGCACAUUCAAAUGUCACCGCGUUAUUUGGUGAAAGUUAUCACCCAUGUUAGUAUGUGAACCUGACACAGAAGCUGGCUUUGGCAGGCUUCGGAGGUGGAGCAGGACUAACCAGCCAACUUUUGAGAGCUUUCACUUCUGCUGAAAAUGAAGUUACAGAGUUGUUAAGGGAACUUCUGAAAUGUAAUUCGUUGCCUCCGGAAAUUAAUUUUUUUAAGCUAUUUUUCAUAUAUUUUAAUGCUUCUGAGUCAUGUUUCCCUCCCUUCGGGGUUUGUAAGCUUAUCUUACGACCUGCAGUUCCCCAGUGCUACACUGCUGACAUUGCUGGGUUUUUUUGUGUGUGUGUGGUUUUUUUUUCGUCCCCGGGAGCUCUAACAUUGUUCUAGAAAUGUUUAAUUGGAUAACACACCAGCAGCAGUGCUGUUUUCACAUUGCUCUGUUUGGUGGUGGAGAGGGCCUAGUUCUGUUCUCAAUUCUUACUUCAGCUGCAGAGAAUCAAUAAUUCCUUGUGAUUCCCAAAGUGGAGACAACUGCUGCUUGAUGUUAAUCUCACUGCCAUCACUCUGACCUGUGUACUUUGCUUAGUGUAAUCUGCAUGUAACAACAGUAAGCAUGGAGUACGUGGGGUGUGAAAAAGAAAAAAAAUCAUCUUUGUAAGCCUAGGUCUAUAGAAACCAGAGAGCAUGUGUGUUCAGCUCUGCUCAUCAACAGUCCUGCAGCAUGCAGAGGACUUCAGACCCAUCACUGGAGGCUUUCUGUAGGUUCCAAAGGGCAUACUGCUUGCAGGACCGCGUCAUCAGAUUACACCAUCAAAUUUAUGCCAUUUUCUGGACUUAUUUCAGACUGAACAGAUGUCAUAAGGCCUGGCCCCACCUUGCUGGACUGGGAAAUAACCUCUUUACCCACACUGCCCAGUCAGUCCAGCUGGCAGCAGGCAGCCAUCCAGGAGACCAGGCAGAGUAACCCCCUGAAGGCUGUAGAGACAACCUGUUUUAGAUGCUACCAGUCUUAAAUCAGCAUAAUCCAUGAUGCUGACCAAAGUCUCUCUGUCAGGGCCAAGGGCUCACCAUGGAGAUUUACCCAGCACCCACUCAGCCUGCGCCUCAGGCUGGGAGACAGUGAGCAGGGAAUGGUAGUGACAGGUGAGAAAGAUCCAGGAAUCACUGGGUUGCACAGCGAACGCUUGAAGGAACGUGCACUGAGGACGAUAAAAGCUUUGCGCAAGGAAGGACAGCCAACAGCGCCUGUGAAGGAACAACCCAACAGCGCGUUUUCGCGCCCGCCACACUCAAGAUGGCGGCGCAGCGCUAGUCACGCCGCGCCACACUCUCCUGCACUUCCCCUUCUCGCUUCUGAUUGGCGGGUCCGCGGUGCCAGCCAAUCAGCGCGCCCGCUGCCGCUCCGAGGGCGGUGCCGCGGCCUGGCCCAGCUGGAAGCCGCGGUUGGUGGCGGGAUGAGCCGUCUCGUUCCGUGCUUGCGCUCACGGCUCCUCCUGUGCGAGUGCCGGGCGGUGUCGCGGGGGCUGCUCCGUGUCUCGCUGGCGGCCGGCCCGUGUCGGGGCACGGCGGGCUGCGGUGCCGCCUCCGACGUAAGCAUGGAGGAGCUGCUGAGCCGCUCCGUGCCGCCGCUGCCGCCCUACGAGACCAAGGAGAAGGCGCCGCCCCCGGCGGAGCUGCGCGGCGCGGAGUUCGUGCGGUACUACCGCGGCCUUCCGGCCGGGCCGCCCCGCGCUGAGCUCCUCACCCGCCUGGCCCGCGACUUCGGCGUGGACCACGGGCGGGUGGCGGAGUUCAGCGCCAAAGUGUUGCAGGCCCGGGAGCAGCAGAGGGAGCUGGGAGCCCUGCUGCAGGCCGAGGACCGGCUGCGCUACUAUCUGAACCCGCGGUACCGGGGGCUGUUCCAGCACCUGGGUCGCCUGGAGGGCGGACUGCGCUUCUUGGUGGAGCUGAGGGGAGACCUGGUGGAGGGGCUGGCGAGCAAGGCGGUGGAUGGGCCUCACGUCAAGGAAAUGAGUGGUGUUCUAAAGAACAUGCUCUCAGAGUGGUUUUCAACAGGAUUCCUAAAUUUGGAGCGGGUGACGUGGCAGUCACCUUGUGAAGUACUCCAGAAAAUCAGUGAUUCUGAAGCUGUGCAUCCUGUUAGAAACUGGGUUGAUAUGAAGCGUCGAGUGGGGUCAUAUAGAAGAUGCUACUUUUUUUCUCACUGUGCAAUCCCAGGAGAACCGUUGAUAGUCUUGCAUGUUGCAUUAACCAGUGAUAUCUCCAGCAGCAUCCAGGCCAUAGUGAAAGAAGUGGAGCCUUUAGAAACAGAAGAUGCAGACAAAAUUACAACAGCAAUUUUCUACUCAAUCAGUUUGACUCAGCAAGGACUGCAGGGAGUGGAACUUGGGACUUACCUCAUCAAACGUGUGGUAAAGGAGCUGCAGAAAGAACUUCCUCAGAUAAAAACUUUCUCCACUCUGUCGCCUAUCCCUGGCUUCACAAAGUGGCUCGUCGGUCUCCUCUCCUCACAGACAAAAGAACUGGAAAAGAACGAACUUUUUACAGAAUCAGAACGCCAGGAACUAUCUCAGAUCACAGGCGACUGUACUACUGAAACACUAAAGAAGCUCUUAAAUAACAACGAAUGGGUACGAUCAGAAAAAUUAGUCAACGCGCUCCAUUCACCGCUUAUGAGACUGUGUGCCUGGUAUUUGUAUGGGGAGAAACACCGUGGCUAUGCGCUGAACCCAGUAGCAAACUUUCACCUUCAGAAUGGCUCCGUGUUGUGGCGGAUAAACUGGAUGGCAGACACGAGCCCUCGGGGCAUUGCUGCUGCCUGUGGCAUGAUGGUGAACUACCGGUACUUCUUGGAGGAUACAGCCAGUAACAGUGCAGCCUACCUGGGGACAAAAGCCAUUAAAGCUUCAGAGCAGGUUCUUUCCUUGGUGUCGCAGUUCCAGCAGAACAGCAAGCUUUAAAACUGAGGACAAGUGUUUUUUCACUUGUAAAGAGCUGUCAUAUUUUGCAGUUCCUGUAUUUAAAUGCGAUCAUCCCUUAUAAAACAAAUUUACUCAGCACGGCAGGGUACAAAAUUAUCUAAAUUAUCAGCUGUCUUGCUUACAUUGCCAUAUAUUCAAAGCCUGAUUUGUUGCAGUUGAAUCACUCGAAGUACCAGACAUCUGUUGUGUACAAAUGAAUUGGAGAAGGUGCUGUGCUUCUCUGUCACACUGCCACCAUAGAUAGAUCAGUACUGAAGGAUCUGGAAAGAAGCGCUGCACGAAGGUAAAUUUUUUGGUCAAAUAUAUUAGCAAAACAGUAGUGUCCAAUUUUAUUUCAAUAACGCCUUUGUCUUUUUCUCCCUCAGACAAUUUAAGGUAAAACCACUAAAAUUCACACUGAAUCUUUGCUUUGUUGGAGCACUGAAAAGCCUUACAUAAAGGUUCUUGAAAAUCAGGGCUUCUCAGGGAAGCAGGUAUGUGUUGUUGUAACUGCACUUCUUUCUGUUGAGGUAUAAUGAGCAAGAAGGAAGUGUUGAAAUAAAAGAGCUGAUUAAGAGCUGCUUUAAUGAAGAGGUAGGUGUGAUCUGUAAACCAGUAAGAUAAACUUUCUCAUUAAAUCAUAUCUAGUGUAUUUCAGUGUGUACCCUGCUUCACUUGGCAGCCUUUCUUCAUAGCAGUAUCACCAGAGAACUAAGACCAUCAUCGUAACAGGUUGAUGCUGUUCUCUAAUUCCCAGUUUUCUCUCUGUCUGAUCACACCGCUGCCUUUUGCUCCCAUGGGAACAAAAGACAUUUUAAUACAACAGCUGAUCAUCAGCUGUCCUGGGCAGGGUUGCCUUCAUUGUUGUUUUCACAGCUGGAGGACUCAUGCCCAAGGAUUAAACGCUUGAAGUAUUGGAAACUUUUACUGAGAGACCUUGAAAAAAGCAGUACCAUCCUGGCCAAUCUGAGGAAGUAACUUCAGAUCCAUCACCGUAUUUUGCUUUUGGAUCUGUGCUUACUGUGCUUAGGCUGUGAGCAAUGGUAUUGAUGGCUGUCACAUAACACCCAAAGACGGAGGUGUCUAUUGGUACUAGUUGUAUGGAGUUCCACAGGAACUGUGUUCUGCUGCGUCCUGGAGAGGUAAUGAGAGACCAAAUAAUGCCUCAGCUGAGGAUAUUCAGAUUAUUUGCACACGCUGAGCUAUCACAUAGCCCUGUUAGAAGAAAGCGAUGAAAUAAAAUCUAUGUUAACAGCGAGUUAACUGAGGCUGCUGGAGCGAAAAGGACAAAGAAAUGCACAUCAUUUGCAUGUGUUAAUAGGAAUAAGGAAGCUGAAAAAAACAGACCGUGCCCAUACUCCAUCACUGCCAGCACAGCCGCUUGGAGCUGCCCCGACGCUGAUCUACUGACGCUGGCUUUGUGCCAGAGUACAUCCCGAUCAUAUAGAUGAGCCGUAAAACUGAAGAUGGAAACACCGGAGUAUUGUGUUGGAAGGACAUUUUCAAGUGGGCGUAAAGAUGUUACCUUAAACCCUUACUUAAGUUUAUGGGUGUUGGAUGCCACAUGCCCUGAAAGCUUGCUUGCCUGCUCUCUUCCCUUCAUCUGCUACCCACCCACACUGCUCCUCAGCCCUUCAGGCUGUCACCUCUCCCUUUAGUCCUUCCAGCUCAAUGGCUGUAAGUAGUAAAGUAACUAAUAUAUUCCCUAAUAUAUGGCAGCGCUCCAAAGACCUCCUUGGCAUUUGAACAAUUUGAGCCAAACCUGCUCACUGUGAGAAAAGCAUUUCCCAGAGCUGCAAAGGAGGCAUGUCAGAUGAGAUGCCGGGCUCCAGCAAGACAAUACCCCAGGAACAAGCUGAGUGAACAAGCCUUUCUCAUCCAUUAAGUGUGCUGACCCCAUGGAUCAAGUCCUGCCUUCACACGGGGCUGAGAAGAUGGUUUGUGUCUACAGGAAACUUUCUGAAGUUGAGCUUCAAGUAUGUGUGACUGAAUUUGAAUUUGCCUUGCCUGAUGGAUUCCUCCCAGUGUGGCUCUGUUGCUGUUUGGCCUCAGGUCUUUGCUACUCUCCUGCAGUUGAUUUACAGGUGGGAUUUCUGAAGUCUACAUCCAUCCAGUUCUUCAGGCAUGGGGGAAUUACCAGCACAUGGCUCAGGCACUCACCUGUGUUCCAGCAGUUUCGCUUUUAAAAUGGUCUGAACAGAUGCAGAAAACUCAGGCUUCAUUUUUCGGUCCCAGCAUCAUCUUUCAUGCUGCUCUUGGUACUCAUCUCACACAAAUAUUUAUUUACUGGUGGGAUGUUGAGCAAUAUGGCCCAGAGGUCCUCUGAAGACAUUACCAAAGGGUAUUUCUUCAGAAGUAUUCUUCAGGGCUGAAGCCAUGCUUUUGGGUCAGAUACGUGUUUCUGAAAGAUGUAUGCUGAAAAAAAAAAAGAAAAGAGAAGGAACAUUUUAUCUUAGAGCUCAUUUCUCAGCUAAACCAUAAAUGAAGGUUUUGUACUUUUAUUAACUGGUAACUAAUGCACUUAUUUAGCUUCAUGCUAACCACUGGGUGGGAAAAAAAAAUGCCCUAUACGUUUACUGGGCAUUACAGAGGUGUAUCUCCAAUUUACCUUCAGUUAGUUUUCUUUAAAUGAGGUGUCAGCCUACGUCCUCAAAGUAUUUUGUUACUGAGCACUUACACCAGUGUGCCCAGCUUCAUAAACACCAUUUUGUCAUUAGAAUUUCAUUAGGGUGAGGAACAGCAAAAUAACACUUCCUCACAUUCUGUCAAUCAAGUGACUGACACUUAUAUCACAAUCUCAGCUCAGCUCUUCAUGUGAAACUGUGGCACGUUGCUGCAAAUUUCCAGGGAGCUGCCCUUUUUCAAGAGAAAAAAAAGAAAGGAAAAAUGAUAUUUGCCUUCUCUCACUUGGGUAUGCAUGUAAACAGCAAGUGCAUUUCGUAAGCUUGUCCUGUGAGUGGCAGGCUGUUGUAGGUGGUCACACGUGUUCUAGCAAUAAGGCAUGGCAUAUUUUGCAGGAAAAUUUGCAGGAUGACUCUAAUCCAAGUAAAUCUGAAAACAGUCACUAUCUGUAAAGGGAUUAAGGUCCUAACCCAGCUCUUCUUCCAUAAUAUCUGGAGAAAAAGCUGUUGGAAAAUAAAGCAAAAUACCCACACGAGAAUACAGGAGAUGGAAAAUAACUAAGAAGAAUUAAAUAAACAGUACUUCAGAUGGUGAUCUUCUCUGUAUAAUGGUAAUGAACAGUUCUUCUGUGAAGUUAGUAUAUUUAAUCAGUUUUAUGGAUAUGUGCACACCUCUGCAUGAUGCGCUGAUGGUCUGUGCUCUUUCAGCUGUGUUUCGUGCCUUAGGGUGGAGGUGCUUUUCUGCUUCUUGAUGAGUACAGAAGCUUCAGGAUGUAGCAGAGAGGUCCUGGGGACGUUUCAGAAUAAGAACAACAGUAUCAAUAAAGAAGAGGAAGCCAAAGUUGACUGCAGGAGAAAACCAGAUUAAGGGGAAAGUUAUCACAGGCCUCACUUCUGCUGGGUCAGUGUCGGUCUGCCCCGGAGGUCCUUGAAGUUUCUCUUGAUGAAUUUGAAAUCACAGAGGUUGUUUUGUGUGUGUGUGUGCUCAAACAAGGAAUGUGCUUAUGUAUUUUUAAACAAUGUGUUGUUUUGUUUGGUGUGUUGUUCUGUGAGGAGAGUUUUGUUGUGCGUUCAGGGUGGGCACAUGAACACAUUAGAUAAGCAUGCGGUCUGAGAAGUGCUGCCGGAAGAGGAAAACAAAAGAAAAUCAGGGGCCAAAACAAAGCCUAUCAAAAAUAAUAAUAACCUGAGGAUGUGUGUAUACAUUCAGAUGCUGUACGUCUUCUGCAGGUUAUUAUAGGAGUGAUCUGAGUUAUAUUUUGAAGCUUUUCUUAUGAAUAGAGAGGCGUGGAGGAAUGUAAUAUGUUUAGCUUGUCAGAAUACCAGCGAGAGGGUGAAAAUCAGAGGAACCUUCAGAGGAUUUAGCACCACCUCAUUGAUUCAGUGGGACUUCAGCAGCUUAGCCUGGCUAGAAUAUAACCCAAUAAGUGUAAAAAAAACCACAUUAAGCCACAUAAAGAGAUGAAGUUAAGCAGCAUGAAGCUUGUUUUUGCAAUCCUUCCUUAAGUGCUCGGGGUUGCUUUUUUUAUGAGUAAAGGAGUUUGUCUUGAAAUUUGUCCAGAGUGACAGGGAACAGCUGAGCAGAGAAGUUGUGAGAAGCCCAAAAUGUUAACAAAAAUAAAAUUUCAAACCUUAAUUUUUCUCACUAAUUGCCCCCUCAAGAAUCCAGCAUCUGGUUCUUCCCUUCUUUCUGUUCCAGGGCAGCACUUUGUUGGAAGCCAUCUACACGAAAGCAUGCACGCUACCUGUUUAUAGGUUUUUUCCUCCAGUAAGGUCCCAUAAUUCUUUCUAAUCUACUUAAAGGAUUUAGCCAAAGUAUUAACAUGAGCCCGAAGGGAUAAUGUUGUUAUUCUAUCAUAGAAUAACAUGAAUAUCCUUUAAUAUAGGUAGUGUUUGUCGUCCAUACCUCAACUUUUCUAUACUCUACCACUUCCUUUUCUUCCCCUGUUCUUUAUUUUCACUUCAGCAGUAGAUCAGUUAUUUCCAUCUCUGCUUAGUCAGAUGAUCAAUAAUUCAAUACGCAAUAUUUCCCAAACAAACCCCUUAAGGACGCCUGGGAGGUCAAUGAAUACACUCUCGAGGGAUCUUUCAGUCUUUACUUUUUGCCAGCUCUGGUGCAGAGUGAGUAUGUGCCGAGUCUUAAGCCAAGUGAGCGGUUUCCUUUCUUUGACUUACUGAUGUACCCCGAUGACUGAGGGCUACUGGUUCUAUCAAUGUUGUAUCCAAUUACAUCAUACAAAUCCAGCCUCCAUUAUCCGUACUCUAAGGCAGAUGUGGACUAGCUCCAUUUUGGAAACUGUACAUGUAUAUUAAUGAAGGGAUUGGUUCGAGCUCAUAAGCUUUGUUGAUAAGCUAACUUGGGCAUGAGUCUGGACCCAUGUGUUUGAGCAGGCUGACAUCCUACCAGCUACAACACAGGCAAUCCAUGUUUGCUAUCCCCUCACCUCUCCCAAGGGGAGAUGAUCAGAGGGGACAAGCAAUGAAGCCAGGGGUCAGUGUGUAUGGAGGAGAGCCAGGGCUCUGCCAGAUCUCCUCUGCAAGCACCACCAGGUCAAGAGCUCAAGUCUGAGUCGCAUCCUUUGCAGACCCUGGAGAUACACUGACAGUAGUCAUUCUAAUACAGCAUUAGACUCAUGUUGAACCAGGAAGGCACUAGAUCUGUAGGCACUAAGGUUUCUAAUCCAUCACUUUUUAGGAUGUUUUGAGAGGCAGGAAAUACAUUUCUUCUUCAUCUCAGUGCCUCUUCAAAAGGUUUACCAUAAACCUUGUUUGCAAUUGGCAAUUCUGGCCAAUGAUUCUAAGGUUUGAUUUGGCAUCUGAACUUAUAAAAUAAUGAACAUAAUUCUUCCAUCCUCCACUGAACAGCUGGUGCUAACUUAUUAAAAGGCAACCUCAUUCUGCACUAACUUUAGUUGGUUUUUUAGCUAUUCCACCCUCUGAAUGGCAUGUUUACUCAAUAUUCUUUCUUUCUUCUAUACUUCAACUAGCCUUUCUUCUAUUUACUUAUCUGCAUUUCAGUACCUACUGUUCUGUAUGAUGUCAGAUGCAUCGCUUCAUGUAGUAUUACCUUUCAUCUAUAGCCUACUAUUGACCCAAAUGCUGUCAUCCUUCUUGACUUCUCACUCUAUGAUGUUCCUGAAUUGCUUUUAAGAUCAACAAUUUGCAACCCUUUCUAACUGAUCUCCCUCUGCUACCACUCCGUGUUUGAAAACUUCUCAUUUUCUUGUUAUGCUGCACCUCCUCACUGCUGUCUGCCAUCCCAUCUGCUCUCUUUUCCUUGAGACCUCAGUCUGUUCUGUAUACGUUUUUAUUCACACAAUACCUGUUAGUGUCAUUGGUCCUCUGUGCCACAGCGGAUGCUUAGGGAGCCUUGGCAUUCAGCUUUCCCAGAUAAGAUGUCAGCAACACAAGAUCAGGUUGUAUGGUUAUCUUAAAACUGGGUAUAGUAGUCAUGUGAAGAGAGAGUCCCACAGUUAGUGCAUGCAACCAUUCCAGUAAUUAGCCCAUACAACAGAGAUUUAUCCUAACUGGAAGUACUUUGCGUCACACUGGAUUCUCUCUUCUUACCUACUGCAGCCUCAGCCAUAAUGCAUAGUUCAAUUUACUACUUCUUGACUAAACGGUUCUUCCAUGCAUUAAGACAAAAUAAAAAGAGGUGUAAAAGUGCUGUUUAAUGGUUUCCCUAUAACGGCAUUAGUGUGGGUGCAAGUGUCUCACUAAAUACAUAAAUGUAGAUAAUCCUUUCUUUCUAGCUCUCUUCUCCUAGGCUACAUUUUUUUUCCUUUACAACUCAUCCCUGGAGAAAUGUUCAUAGUGAAAAAUCAUUGCUAACUUCAUUUUUUUUUGCCUUCCCUGUGAAUUUCUUUCCUGGAGCAAUAAUAAGAAAUAAUGGGUGCAGUGCUUUCCUACAGAGUCUAUGGUAUAUAACAAACAGUCUGGUGUUUUAUUUGUUGUUGCCGUAUUUAAUUUAAGUGUAUUAAUUUUUCUCUUUGGCUUAUCUAUUUUCUUUCUAAGUGCAGAGGGCCUUCCAAACCUUUUGCUAAUAUCACUUUAGGAACCAGAUUGGCUUUGUAGUUAUGUAUAGAAAUUAAGAUUCAGGUCUCAAGUUUCACCCACUUCCUUUCUAGAUUAACUUCACCAUUUCCCCUUUUUCUCAAGCAGUCACCAAUGACAAGUUGAAGGUGUCCAGCUUAAUAAACCAACUGUAAACCAAUAUCAAUCAGAGCCUACAACUUCAACUGACAGAAGAAGAGAGAUGUUUUCUUGGUGUCUCUGAAAAGAAGACCAGCUGAGCCACAGAAAUCAGCCUUGCUGGUCUUAAUCCUUGUACCUCUCAAUUUACCUUUUUGUAAAAUGGUUGCAAUAUCUAAUUCACAAGGAAGGAGUGCUCAGUCUAUUUAAAGCUUGUGAAACAUUGCACAGCUCUGACUGGAUAGCAUUUGAUGAGUGUUAAGUUAAAUGACAGUAUUAUUUUCUGUCAUUGUGCUGUUGCUCUGCUUAGAGCAGAUUAGGAAAAAGCAGCUGGGUGGGCAGAUUCUCUUAUAAUAUCUGAGCAAAUUUAGCAAAUCCAAAGACAGAAAGAUUUCCUUAGUUACAUCUUUGUGACCCUGUUUUCUUCAUUUAUUCAGUUAGAAAGAGAGACAUUUGCAUUAUAAAUGGAAUUGCUAAUAACAGUGUUCAUUUUCAGUCUGUAGGUUCAUCGUUUUGACAAGCAGGGACUCUCAUUAAGCAAGGCUGGGAAAACGGAGACUGGAGAAGCUUGGUUUGCACCAUCUGCACCAGACUUGCUGGGACUUGCUCUGUGCAGACAGUCUCUGUGCACUGGGACGGAGGGACGAAGCAGAGCAGCCCAUGCUGCCCAGUGCUUAUGUGGUCGCUCCAGCUGAGCAAUGCGGUCUCAGAACACAAUUCAUCCUCGUUCAAGUGGCACUCAGGUUCAGUUCUUCAGAACUACUAUAAACACAGAAUCACUGUGUGAGCACUUCAUCCAGCAUAGAGGAGCUUCCAUUGCAUGGACAGAUGCUGUUUGAAGGAACGCUGAGAUUCUGGAGUGAAAGCUGCUAUAUAACUUCAAAACAUGGUUGAACAAGAAGUGGAGCAGCCUAAUGAAGCAUGGAUUCAGCUACUAAAGCUGGAGACUUUAUAAAUGUAAAGAAUUUUUUAUCAGGUAUUCAAAAUCUAGGUGACCCAUCAGGCCCUUGGUAGAUUGCUCCUGAAGUGACAAUACUCCAGUGCUUCCUCCAAGUGGAUGCCCAACAAGCAGGACAACAGUACAAGCAGCAGAACCUGAGGUGUUCGUCUGCAGCACAGUGUUUACUAAGAAUACUGAUUUAUUUCUUUUUCUUCACCUUCUAUUCCAGAUGGGAAGUUUACCUAGCCAGCUUAGUUUGUCUUUGCAGGUAUUUCUCACAUUACAUUCUUUUGAUGGCUGCAGAUUGUAGUGCAAUUAUAGUUUACAUUGUAUGAAAUUACUACUAUACUUUAUAAUCUUUUCAUUUCUAUAUUUAUUCUCAUGGCUGCAAACAAUAAUAAAGACUGGCUUUCUUUUCUUGGAGAAAAUUAAA
Molecule: RNA transcript, 11255 nt
Organism: Gallus gallus (chicken)
Lineage: Eukaryota; Metazoa; Chordata; Aves; Galliformes; Phasianidae
Gene: MLYCD
Gene name: malonyl-CoA decarboxylase
Exons: 12
Source: RefSeq, a predicted model, not a curated record